This is a non-coding RNA of Cinara cedri, 1507 nucleotides long. Lineage: Eukaryota; Metazoa; Arthropoda; Insecta; Hemiptera; Aphididae. The record is from the annotation of a GenBank genome assembly.
UGUUAUUGGGUUCGCUGGACUAUGCGUACACGAAUUAAGUAUAAGUAAUAUGGAUUUACUAUUCGCUCAUUAUUUCCAGGUACAUACGACUAUACACCGAUUAGUGAUUACCGAGGGAGAAAUACAGUUUAGUAGUGAUUAGUGAGUAAGUGUACAAGCUAGAAAAGUCCCUAAAGAAAAUCGCCCUUCUUCUUCUCCUCCGUCCUCGUCUCUACUAUUUUGGUUCAGUUAAACUGACCGUUGACUGAUUGAAAACCAUAAAAAAAAAAUAAUAACAAUAAAAACACACCGGUAAUAAUAAACCCAAAUCGAUAUAAUAGUUUACGAAAAUAUCGUAUUCUCUCGAGCACCGGGCAAACUGCAGUAGUAUUUAGUAUUAUUCGACGAAUUUUAAAUUGUGUGUACUACCCGUUCCGACCUGGGCGUAAAUAUAUAUACGCACGUUUUACGUAUCAUUUAUUAUAACUUCCGUAGAAUAACUAACCGGAAAUCCGUUUCAGACGAGGUCCGCGCCGGAUAAAGAGAAUAGGUAUAAAAAAAAAAAAAAAAAAAAAAAAAAAAAAAAAAAAACGGAAAUCCGAAAUCUUGAAACCCCGAGGAGUCGAAAUAAAGAAGGAAAAAAGUGAAAUAGGCGUUCGGCUAUUAUAGUUAAAUUUAUCUUAUCCCCUGUAUAUAAUAGGUAUACUAUAAAAUAUAUUACGCAGUAUAUACCGAGCUAUAAGUUGAAAUUUAUUUUAGUGCGUAAAGGUUAAAUGUACCUAUAGAUUUCAUUUCGCAGUGUACGCAAAAAGUCCCGUAUUGGUACCUAAACCUCGUGUAGUCGGACACGUUGGAAACAAAAUAAAGCCGUGUAGGUGUGUGUGUGUGUGUGUGAAACUUUACCGUUAGCCUUUAUCGUGUCGGCGAUCCACAAAAUUGGCUUUGUUCAAAAACGGACGAAACUAAUUUAUUAUAAUUGGCCAAUAGGUACCUGUUGGCUUAUAUACGCGAAACGUCUUACAUUAUUAUAUACGGUAUCGGCGUAAGGUAUUAAAUCGUUUUGUUAUAAUUAUUUGUCAUUUCUCUUGUUGACCUUUGUUCACGACAAAAAAAAAAAAACAAAAAACAAACAACACCAAUAAUAACAAUAAAUUAAUGAACGGAUAUAAAUUUUAUAAUAGUUGCGAGUUUAACGAAACGCGAAUUAUUAUAAAACGUCUUUUUGUGUGUAAAACUUUCACGGUGCUCUUUUGUGUUGUAUAAUUAUACACAUUGUGCGUGCCUCACAAUGACUGUUCCGUAUUUUACCGAGCUGCGUAUAUAUUUUGGGUAUUAUUAUAAUAAUUCAAAUUGAUUUUACCUAUUCGCGAUUAGACAUUUAAACAGGAGUGGGACAAAUGAAAAAUUGUCUGGACGGGAAAACUGUGAUAUUUCCGACACAUCCAGUGUUAUAACCACAAUGAUAUUAACAAUAAUGAAACACAACAACAGCGAGUAUAAAAAUAUUUUAAAAAAAAAAAGAAGCCAC